RNAcentral lists this long non-coding RNA (229 nucleotides) under Carica papaya (papaya). RNAcentral's name for it is "long non-coding RNA (CPAP_LNC001161)". The record is from RNAcentral. Lineage: Eukaryota; Viridiplantae; Streptophyta; Magnoliopsida; Brassicales; Caricaceae.
ACUUGAUUUGACGCCGAAAAACUAAAUGGUUUAUUGCACCUACAGGCGGUCCCUAGGGUCCCUGAAUUUUUUUUCCGGGAACUAAAACGCGCUUAUGGUACCUAUAAAUGACCCAAAUAAAUCCAAAAAUCAGUCUCAGGGCCUACUCGGCCAAUUUCGAAAAUCUGACACAGCGGUGGCGGUCCGUUUCAAGUUGGCCAUUUUUGACCGAAUUCGGUCGAUUUUACAU